RNAcentral lists this transfer RNA (72 nucleotides) under Datura stramonium (jimsonweed). Its description in RNAcentral is "tRNA-Gln". It matches the Rfam family "tRNA". From Rfam's summary of the family: Transfer RNA (tRNA) molecules are approximately 80 nucleotides in length. The record is from RNAcentral. Lineage: Eukaryota; Viridiplantae; Streptophyta; Magnoliopsida; Solanales; Solanaceae.
UGGGGCGUGGCCAAGUGGUAAGGCAACGGGUUUUGGUCCCGCUAUUCGGAGGUUCGAAUCCUUCCGUCCCCG